This 312-nucleotide RNase P RNA is filed under the name Flavobacterium arcticum. RNAcentral's name for it is "Bacterial RNase P class A". It matches the Rfam family "Bacterial RNase P class A". Rfam says of the family: Ribonuclease P (RNase P) is a ubiquitous endoribonuclease, found in archaea, bacteria and eukarya as well as chloroplasts and mitochondria. Its best characterised activity is the generation of mature 5'-ends of tRNAs by cleaving the 5'-leader elements of precursor-tRNAs. The record is from Rfam by way of RNAcentral. Lineage: Bacteria; Pseudomonadati; Bacteroidota; Flavobacteriia; Flavobacteriales; Flavobacteriaceae.
CCCGCAGGUCGCCUUAUCGCUCCGUUUUUACGGGGAGGAAAGUCCGGACACCAUAGGGCAGCAUAGCGGGUAACGCCCGUCACCGUGCUAACACGGGAGGACAAGUGCAGCAGAAAGUAUGUACAGGUAAUGCUGUAGUGAAACCAGGUAAACUCUAUGCGGUGCAAUGUCAAGUAUACCAGCAAUUAAGGGCUGCUCGCCCAAUGCUGGAGGGUAGACAGAUAGAGCAUAACAGCAAUGUUAUGCCUAGAUAAAUGAUAAGGGUUUCUUUUCUUAGAAAUACAGAAUCCGGCUUACAGACCUGCUUUAUUU